UGGGCUAAGAACGAGUUAUUAAUGUUUUUAUUUUUGGGUAAAUAGUCAAGUGAAGGUGCGAAAAACACUAGAAAGGGGGGUUUGAAUAGAGUUUUUAACAAAAGAUAUCCCUUUUUAAGUUUUACAAAACUUAAGGAUAAGAACUAGGUGCAAGAUAUAAACAAAAUAGCACACAGGUAUUUUAUCCUGGUUCACUUGAGAUAAAAGCUCAAGCUAAUCCAGUCCACCUGUUAAGGUGAUUUUUUCCUUCUUCUGAUGAAGGCAAUUCACUAAGAUCAAUGAGUGUUACAACUGCACUUGCAACCUACAAGUGACUAACAAUACAAAGACCUUCUCACUAGUAUCCUCUCAAGAAGCUGAUCUACCGAUCCUCUCAAGACUAGCUAAUCACUGAAUCAACCUUGAUUCAGUCCUCUCAAGAUCUGACCAACCUUGGUCUCUUAAGGAAUUACAAUAAGAUUGUAGUAGGUUUGUGUUUACAAAUGAAUGCUUUUGAUAAGCAGGGUAAACUUAGAAUUGUAAGCGAAUGAAGAAUAUUGCUUGGGAGCUUUGUAAGUAUGUUUGCUAAAUUCGUGCAAUGCUUCUUACUUUCUUCAUCUUGAUGCAGCGUUCUUAUACUUCUGGAUUCAAAGAAUGUUACCGUUGUAUGAUCUGCUUUUGCAGAGACCGGUUGUAGUGGAAUUCAGAGAAUAAAGAAUAUUGUGCUGCCCGAGGUAGGUGUGCCAUCGAGAAUAAACAUCCAUGUCCAGGAUAUUCUAUUCUAUGACAACUUGUCUUAGUGCGCGACAAUACCAGUGCACUUAAUCAUUACUUAAUGCUUCAGAUGUUCUCUCGUGAAGUUAAAUGAUUAGUGUAAUUCUGAAAGCUUGUAAUCCUUAUGUCAGCUUCCGGUGGAUCUUCUGAGCUAUGUACAGUAGCUUCUGAACCGUUCCUCAGAACUUCUGAUCUUGGUUUUUCUGAGCCAACUUCUUAAGUCUUCAGAACUUUGAGUCCUCUGCUUCUGGACCGUUCCAUCUGAACUAUCUGAUCCUCAGAACUUCUGACUCCGGUUCUUCAUAACUUCAAGUUGUCUUGAUCCAUAUCAAUGCUUUCUUGUAGCUUCAGAUCUUCUGAAGGAUUUGUCACUGUUCUGAACGAACAUGAUCAGCUUUAAGAUCUUUCUUAUAGUUACCUUUUUGGUUUCUAUCUUCUGAAAUAAUGUGCUUGGAUCAGAAUGAGAACCUGUUUGUCACACUUGGAAAAGACAAACGUUAGGGUACCAUAAUUGUUCAUCAUCACAAAACUAAAUUGUAAUCAUCAAAAUAUAGAGAUGCAACCACUGAUCAAAUCUUGAUCUUACAUCAAGUUGGUCCCUAAAUGUGUUAGCCGCCUUCAAGUUGGUCCCUAAACUUCUAAAAUGCAUUCCGCGGUCCUUGAAUGUGACAAAAGUCCUUUAAGUUAGUCCCUGACCUUAAAAUCGUUAACGGCCGUUAACGAAAAUGCUGAGAUGGAAUUUAUUUUCCAUGCUGGAGUGUCUAUUUGUAAAAUUAACGUCAAUUUAGUCCCUCCUUAAAUUAAAACAAUCUUCACCUUCUUCAUCUUCAUCCUGUUCAUCUUCACCUUCUUCAUCUUCCCCAAAAACCCAGAACUCCACCCCCUCCGGCCACCACUCCAGCCACCUCCCCAUUUAAACGACCCACAACCUCCACCAUGUAAGUUCUUCGGUCACCACCCCCCUCACUCCUCCGCCAAUCAUCAAAAUCAGAUCUGGUUCUUAAACCUCAAUCCUGGCUGUUACAACCAUCGUGCUGCACUGUAGCUCGCAAUCACCAUCGAUAUGAACUCUGACCCUAAACCCUCGUCCACCACGCCGCACCGCGCUGUCGCAAGGGAUGCCGCAUCCUCUCCACUGUGAGCAUCGCCACACUGUUCAGCCAAGCUCCCACCUCGAACCCCCCUCCGAAAGCUAAGCCUCCAUCUCCUUCUCGAUCCAACAUGCUCCCAGAUGGGUAUCUCCAAAUUGAAGAUCUUGGGCAUCCGAUUCUGUUUUUUGAUCUGAUCGGAGUCCAAAAAAUCAAUCUUUCUUUUAUUCUCUGACCAAAUCUGAAUCUGGGUCCUGAAAAGCUCUGAAGAUUAUUCAUCAGUGCGCAUGGCUGAAGCUGACCACAACACUCGCAAGGUUACCCAGAUGGGUGAAAGCCAGGAUUUGAAGAAGAUUAAAGAAGAUUGGGAGAUUGAAAAGGGAUUAGCUUUCUAUUCCAGCAAUAAACUUGAUACACCAUGCGUAUAGUGUAUUUUGUUUUUGGUAUAAUCAUGUAUGGUGUUUAUUUUUGAAUUAGAAGUUGCUGUAGUGUUGUUUUGUUGUUC
Long non-coding RNA from Lotus japonicus, 2346 nucleotides. RefSeq lists it as uncharacterized. Lineage: Eukaryota; Viridiplantae; Streptophyta; Magnoliopsida; Fabales; Fabaceae. The record is from RefSeq and is a predicted model, not a curated record. The transcript has 2 exons.